UGGGGAAUUUUGCACAAUGGGGGCAACCCUGAUGCAGCGACGCCGCGUGAUUUAGAAGGCCUUCGGGUUGUAAAAAUCUUUUCUAUGGGAAGAAAAUGACAGUACCAUAGGAAUAAGGACCGGCUAAUUACGUGCCAGCAGCCGCUGUAAUACGUAAGGUCCGAGCGUUGUCCGGAAUCAUUGGGCGUAAAGGGUACGUAGGCGGGUAAGCAAGUUAGAAGUGAAAUCCUAUAGCUCAACUAUAGUAAGCUUUUAAAACUGCUAAUCUUGAGGUAUGGAAGGGAAAGUGGAAUUCCUAGUGUAGCGGUGAAAUGCGCAGAUAUUAGGAGGAAUAACGGUGGCGAAGGCGACUUUCUGGCCAUAACCUGACGCUGAGGUACGAAAGCGUGGGUAGCAAACAGG
This 402-nucleotide ribosomal RNA is filed under the name bacterium. RNAcentral's name for it is "partial 16S ribosomal RNA". It matches the Rfam family "Bacterial small subunit ribosomal RNA", at positions 355 to 776 of the family's 1533-position model. The record is from RNAcentral.